GCAGAUAUCAGGAGGAACACCGGUGGCGAAGGCGGGACUCUGGGCUGUUACUGACGCUGAGGAGCGAAAGCAUGGGGAGCGAACAGGAUUAGAUACCCUGGUAGUCCAUGCCGUAAACGUUGGGAACUAGGUGUGGGGUCCAUUCCACGGAUUCCGCGCCGUAGCUAACGCAUUAAGUUCCCCGCCUGGGGAGUACGGCCGCAAGGCUAAAACUCAAAGGAAUUGACGGGGGCCCGCACAAGCGGCGGAGCAUGCGGAUUAAUUCGAUGCAACGCGAAGAACCUUACCAAGGCUUGACAUGCACUGGAAUCGCCUAGAGAUAGGUGCGCCCUUUGGGGCUGGUGUACAGGUGGUGCAUGGUUGUCGUCAGCUCGUGUCGUGAGAUGUUGGGUUAAGUCCCGCAACGAGCGCAACCCUCGUUCUAUGUUGCCAGCACGUGAUGGUGGGAACUCAUAGGAGACUGCCGGGGUCAACUCGGAGGAAGGUGGGGAUGACGUCAAAUCAUCAUGCCCUUUAUGUCUUGGGCUUCACGCAUGCUACAAUGGUCGGUACAGAGGGUGGCGAUGCCGUGAGGUGGAGCGAAUCCCUUAAAGCCGGUCUCAGUUCGGAUCGUAGUCUGCAACUCGACUACGUGAAGUCGGAGUCGCUAGUAAUCGCAGAUCAGCAACGCUGCGGUGAAUACGUUCCCGGGCCUUGUACACACCGCCCGUCAAGUCACGAAAGUCGGUAACACCCGAAGCCGGUGGCCUAACUCUGUGU
This 759-nucleotide ribosomal RNA is filed under the name Brevibacterium sp. RNAcentral describes it as "bacterial SSU rRNA". It matches the Rfam family "Bacterial small subunit ribosomal RNA", at positions 690 to 1444 of the family's 1533-position model. The record is from RNAcentral. Lineage: Bacteria; Bacillati; Actinomycetota; Actinomycetes; Micrococcales; Brevibacteriaceae.